GGGCGAGUGGCGGAAUUGGUAGACGCGCUAGACUCAAAAUCUUGUAUUCGUAAGAAUGUGAGGGUUCAAGUCCCUCCUCGCCCACCA
RNAcentral lists this transfer RNA (87 nucleotides) under Candidatus Saccharimonadota bacterium. RNAcentral's name for it is "Candidatus Saccharibacteria bacterium tRNA-Leu". It matches the Rfam family "tRNA". From Rfam's summary of the family: Transfer RNA (tRNA) molecules are approximately 80 nucleotides in length. Lineage: Bacteria; Candidatus Saccharimonadota. RNAcentral also lists the same sequence under 1 other name. The record is from RNAcentral.